AUUGAACGCUGGCGGCAUGCCUAACACAUGCAAGUCGAACGGCAGCACGGACCAGUUUACUGGUUGGGUGGCGAGUGGCGGACGGGUGAGUAACGCGUAGGAAUAUGCCUUAAAGAGGGGAUAACCUGGGGAAACCCAGGCUAAUACCGCGUAAUCUCUGAGGAGAGAAGCUGGGGACCUUCGGGCCUGGCGCUUUAAGAUUAGCCUGCGUCCGAUUAGCUAGUUGGUGGGUAAAGGCCUACAAGGCGACGAUCGGUAGCUGUUCUGAGAGGAAGGACAGCCACACUGGGACUGAGACACGGUCCAGACUCCUACGGGAGGCAG
This 324-nucleotide ribosomal RNA is filed under the name uncultured Pseudomonadota bacterium. Its description in RNAcentral is "bacterial SSU rRNA". It matches the Rfam family "Bacterial small subunit ribosomal RNA", at positions 30 to 351 of the family's 1533-position model. The record is from RNAcentral. Lineage: Bacteria; Pseudomonadati; Pseudomonadota.